CCAAAGGGAAUGCCUUAGUAGCGGCGAGUGAAGCGGCAAAAGCUCAAAUUUGAAAUCUGGCUCUUUCAGAGUCCGAGUUGUAAUUUGAAGAAGGUAUCUUUGGGUCUGGCUCUUGUCUAUGUUUCUUGGAACAGAACGUCACAGAGGGUGAGAAUCCCGUGCGAUGAGAUGAUCCAGGCCUAUGUAAAGUUCCUUCGAAGAGUCGAGUUGUUUGGGAAUGCAGCUCUAAGUGGGUGGUAAAUUCCAUCUAAAGCUAAAUAUUGGCGAGAGACCGAUAGCGAACAAGUACAGUGAUGGAAAGAUGAAAAGAACUUUGAAAAGAGAGUGAAAAAGUACGUGAAAUUGUUGAAAGGGAAGGGCUUGAGAUCAGACUUGGUAUUUUGUAUGUUACUUCUUCGGGGGUGGCCUCUACAGUUAAUCGGGCCAUCAUCAGUUUGGGCGGUAGGAGAAAUGAGUUGGAAUGACGCACGUCUUCAGCUGCGGG
Molecule: ribosomal RNA, 484 nt
Filed under: Pichia kudriavzevii
Lineage: Eukaryota; Fungi; Ascomycota; Pichiomycetes; Pichiales; Pichiaceae
Description: partial large subunit ribosomal RNA
Rfam family: Eukaryotic large subunit ribosomal RNA
Source: RNAcentral